GCCCGGGUAGCUCAAUUGGUCAGAGCGUCGGACUUUUAACCUCACUAUACCGAUAAGGGAAAAAGUCCAUCCGAAGGUUGGGGGUUCGAGACCCCCCUCGGGCG
Biscogniauxia marginata is the source of this 104-nucleotide non-coding RNA. The record is from the annotation of a GenBank genome assembly. NCBI's taxonomy places the organism in Eukaryota, Fungi, Ascomycota, Sordariomycetes, Xylariales, Xylariaceae.